GGGCUAACUGCAGGUUCCUCUUCUACAAUUGUCUGCAGCUCAGCAUUGUCCCAAUCUUCAGAAACUGUGAUCGUUUUAUUCGUUUCCCGUGUUUGAAGAAUUCGAUCAGGGCCUUGUUGCCACAAGAUAGUCUCAUCAUCUACUGUCAUAAUGAACUUGUAGCUUAUAGUUUUUCCACUCGGUAUAUCCAACUCGACGUUCCAUACAUGUCCCUCUGACCAUUCAAGUGGCACUGCAUUUGAUGGAUCCCAUAAACCGAGCAUUGGAUCAUCGCCCACUAAGUAGAAAUGCUGACCAAAGGAACAUUCCUUAUUCAAUUGAAAUUUUACGCGAACUGGUUUGUAUUGAUUUGUAUCAGUUGUUUCUGUUUCUUCACUCUGAUUAUGUAUCUGAGUGUCAGAAGCACAAAAAAUAGGUUGAAUAAUUUUGUGCUGAACAGAACAUGAGGUAAUAUGAACAAUCUUCAAACUUGACAAUCCAAG
This 482-nucleotide unclassified non-coding RNA is filed under the name Hevea brasiliensis (rubber tree). The record is from RNAcentral. Lineage: Eukaryota; Viridiplantae; Streptophyta; Magnoliopsida; Malpighiales; Euphorbiaceae.